This 424-nucleotide long non-coding RNA is filed under the name Junco hyemalis (dark-eyed junco). RNAcentral's name for it is "lncRNA (ENSJHYG00000000080.1)". The record is from RNAcentral. Lineage: Eukaryota; Metazoa; Chordata; Aves; Passeriformes; Passerellidae.
UGCUGCUGGCUUUUCUGUAAACAUGGGGCUGGCUACUACAUUUAUAUUUUAUAUUUUUUCUGUCAGAACCCAGACAAGGGUGGCAUGAAGGUGACAACCUGGAAAAAAGACAGUAUCGAACUUUUGGAGAAAGUGCUGUGGCAGAUCUUUCAAAGGGCAGAUCUUGCAGAAGAAUGGACAGAUGAUGGAGUUUUACCUCACUGCUGUUGGAGUUUUGAAGUUGAAGUCAAUGAAAGUGUGGCAGCGGCUGAAGGAAGAUGAGAGCUGUGGGGAACCGGGAAAGUUACCAUCUCUGUAAGUGGGACUUAAUGUGUUAGGGGUGAUGAAGCCUCUGAUAAUUUCUGUAUGCUUGGAAGCGAAGAAAAAAAAAAGACUAAAAGCUGCAGAGAAUAAAGACCUAAUUAUCUCUGUCUUCUAAGCCUCG